RNAcentral lists this unclassified non-coding RNA (336 nucleotides) under Hevea brasiliensis (rubber tree). The record is from RNAcentral. Lineage: Eukaryota; Viridiplantae; Streptophyta; Magnoliopsida; Malpighiales; Euphorbiaceae.
AUUUGCCUGCACAGUUGGACAAAAACCAAGCAAGGCUAAAUAUUAUUUGGACGACACUUCAGAGGUUAGAUUUAUGCUUGAGUCUCUUGCUGAAGCUACUAUUACUCCAUGUACUUCCGAUGAAGAAGCUGAGGACUCGGCUUGAAUUAGCUGAUGCAUGCCUUGGUUUGUUUGGUUUCCUUCCUACUGCAUGUAUAUUUCCAGGUUGGGCCAGUGACUUCAUCUCUUUGAUAGUUAGUUUUAGGUUUUAAGAUAACGGAAUUAUAAUCCGCUCAAUUAUUCUUUCCUUUUGACAUUGAUCCAUUCUUUUACCCCUUCCCUGGAAGUACUUUGUGU